This 74-nucleotide transfer RNA is filed under the name Selenomonas sp. RNAcentral describes it as "tRNA-Pro". It matches the Rfam family "tRNA". From Rfam's summary of the family: Transfer RNA (tRNA) molecules are approximately 80 nucleotides in length. Their secondary structure includes four short double-helical elements and three loops (D, anti-codon, and T loops). Lineage: Bacteria; Bacillati; Bacillota; Negativicutes; Selenomonadales; Selenomonadaceae. The record is from RNAcentral.
CGGAAAGUAGCGCAGUUUGGUAGCGCACUUGCUUUGGGAGCAAGGGGUCGCAGGUUCAAAUCCUGUCUUUCCGA